GAGGAAACGAAAGCGAGAUGCAAAUUGUGGGAGGUGAAAGAGGCAAAACAUGCCUGAGGCCUUCCUCUUACAGCGGCUUUACCUCUUCUUAUCCCCCCCAGGAGGACGCUGGAGCUGGUGGGCAGGGGCAGCUCUGGGUCACGGCAAAUGCUGAGUUCCCGAUUUCCCACUGACGUCUCUUCAUUUCACCUGGAUGCACCAGCAAACAGCACCGUCCGAGACAGGAGAUGAAUGCCAUCCUCUGUGAGUCUCUGCUCCUGGCUAUAACCACCACACAACAGUGCUUUUGUUAGGGCACUUCUACCUACCAAAGCUUGGUGGUGGGGAAAAAUGUUACCGUGCUGGUCAAGUAGGAGGCUUCUUCACCUUUAAUCAGCUCUACCUGAUGCCACCUGUUGGCUCUUUGGCUCCUAAAAUGGGGUGGGCUGCUCAGGAGGUGUGAGAUACUGUCAUCAGUGACACUGCCUGUGUCAGAUCCUAUCAUCUUGCUCAGCUGGCUGCUGCACCUGGUGCCUGAUUUAAUGCUGAUGGGAAGGAAGAAGAGAUGCCUCAUUACUGCGUGAGCUGCAGCAUCCUCUAUGUGGCCAGAUGGCAUGUUGUGAGCUGACUGGCUGAAGGUCCAGACCCUGUAUCCGAUCCUGACCUGGGGUUUGGCUGAGCUCAUGUGUCGAUGCACAGCAUGCAUGAAGAGGCUGCGUUUCCUGCUGGAGGCCUUUCUUCAGCUCCACAGCAGCGAUGAGUAACAUUAGCAAACCAAGGAGCGUGACCACGAAAGAGACACUGGCCUGAAUUAUAAGCUACUGCAAAGAUGCCUUUAUGUUCCCAUCUGGAAGAUGUUUCUUGAGACAAAGCAGCUUCAGUGUGAUCAAAUCAAAAAGCAGUGUUUAGCAUUUGUAAUGCUCCCUCAGCUGUGAAUCCAGUGAUGAGCUGCAUUGUCCUCGGACGUGUGGACA
This 953-nucleotide long non-coding RNA is filed under the name Anas platyrhynchos (mallard). RNAcentral's name for it is "lncRNA (ENSAPLG00020017410.1)". Lineage: Eukaryota; Metazoa; Chordata; Aves; Anseriformes; Anatidae. The record is from RNAcentral.